GCCUGCCUGGCUCAGUUGGUAGAGCAUGGUGUUUGCAAUGCCAGGGUUGUGGGUUUGAUUCCCACGGGGGACC
RNAcentral lists this transfer RNA (73 nucleotides) under Salmo salar (Atlantic salmon). It matches the Rfam family "tRNA". Rfam says of the family: Transfer RNA (tRNA) molecules are approximately 80 nucleotides in length. Lineage: Eukaryota; Metazoa; Chordata; Actinopteri; Salmoniformes; Salmonidae. The record is from Rfam by way of RNAcentral.